UGGGGAAUAUUGGACAAUGGGCGCAAGCCUGAUCCAGCCAUGCCGCGUGAGUGAUGAAGGCCCUAGGGUUGUAAAGCUCUUUCACCGGUGAAGAUAAUGACGGUAACCGCAGAAGAAGCCCCGGCUAACUUCGUGCCAGCAGCCGCGGUAAUACGAAGGGGGCUAGCGUUGUUCGGAUUUACUGGGCGUAAAGCGCACGUAGGCGGACUUUUAAGUCAGGGGUGAAAUCCCGGGGCUCAACCCCGGAACUGCCUUUGAUACUGGAAGUCUUGAGUAUGGUAGAGGUGAGUGGAAUUCCGAGUGUAGAGGUGAAAUUCGUAGAUAUUCGGAGGAACACAAGUGGCGAAGGCGGCUCACUGGACCAUAACUGAAGCUGAGGUGCGAAAGCGUGGGGAGCAAACAGG
RNAcentral lists this ribosomal RNA (404 nucleotides) under Actinomycetes bacterium. RNAcentral describes it as "Actinobacteria bacterium partial 16S ribosomal RNA". It matches the Rfam family "Bacterial small subunit ribosomal RNA", at positions 355 to 776 of the family's 1533-position model. The record is from RNAcentral. Lineage: Bacteria; Bacillati; Actinomycetota; Actinomycetes.